This 100-nucleotide signal recognition particle RNA is filed under the name Paludibacteraceae bacterium. RNAcentral's name for it is "signal recognition particle sRNA small type". It matches the Rfam family "Bacteroidales small SRP". From Rfam's summary of the family: The non-coding component of the signal recognition particle in Bacteroides Lineage: Bacteria; Pseudomonadati; Bacteroidota; Bacteroidia; Bacteroidales; Paludibacteraceae. The record is from RNAcentral.
GAGCAAGUCCUGUACGACCAGCUCCCUCUGAAUUCCCCCAGGUCUUGACCGAAGCAAGGGUAGGAGGUUGUAGCGGUGCGAUGCAGUAAGCUUGCUCUUU